GUGUACUCACUCAUACACCCGGGUUUUGCGCGUACCGCCCGCAUCCCAUCUGACGGGCGCUUGCUAGGCUUUGUCAGCC
RNAcentral lists this small RNA (79 nucleotides) under Xanthomonas vesicatoria. Its description in RNAcentral is "sX9". Lineage: Bacteria; Pseudomonadati; Pseudomonadota; Gammaproteobacteria; Lysobacterales; Lysobacteraceae. The record is from RNAcentral.